AAUGAACGCUGGCGGCAUGCCUAACACAUGCAAGUCGAACGGAAACACGCGGAGGGGUCCCCACUAAUGGUAGCGGGGGGCGGAAGGGUAAGGAAUGGAUCACCAGCUGGUGAGUCUGGGAGAAAAACGGGAGACAAGAGCUAAUAUCAUCUAAUAUUUAGAACGGGGGGGCUCAAUGGAAAAUGUGGCCUUGCGCGUUUGGAGUAGCCGAUGUCGGAUUAGCUAGUUGGUGGGGUAAGGGCCUACCAAGCCGACGAUCCGUAGCUGGUCUGAGAGGAUGAUCAGCCACACUGGAACUGAGACACGGUCCAGACUCCUACGGGAGGCAGCAGUGGGGAAUCUUGGACAAUGGGCGAAAGCCUGAUCCAGCAAUGCCGCGUGAGUGAAGAAGGCCUUCGGGUUGUAAACCUCUGUUGUUAGGAAAGAAAAGAAGCUGGAUAAUCCAUGGACGUCUUGACGGUACCUAAACAAUAAGCACCGGCUAACUACGUG
RNAcentral lists this ribosomal RNA (492 nucleotides) under uncultured bacterium. RNAcentral's name for it is "partial 16S ribosomal RNA". It matches the Rfam family "Bacterial small subunit ribosomal RNA", at positions 29 to 507 of the family's 1533-position model. The record is from RNAcentral.